CUUUGUAAUUACCAAAAUAUGAUCAGAGACAGAAAUGAAAAAAAAUAAGAAAGAUGGAUGACUAUACUAUACCCCUGGAUCUUAAAACAACAACUCACUAAUGGAAGAAACUUUGAAAUCCCUAAAGAUCUUAAAAUGAUCCUCUUCCUCAGCCCCUAAUUUUGGAAUUUAGAAUGCUGAAGCUUCUGGCCGACCUCAACUCGAUAAGUUCCAAUCAUCUAUUGAGGAGCUUGAAACAAAUAGAAACCGCUUUUUUCAUCCACG
Molecule: long non-coding RNA, 264 nt
Filed under: Elaeis guineensis (African oil palm)
Lineage: Eukaryota; Viridiplantae; Streptophyta; Magnoliopsida; Arecales; Arecaceae
Description: long non-coding RNA (EGUI_LNC035437)
Source: RNAcentral